This is a long non-coding RNA of Hibiscus syriacus, 405 nucleotides long. RefSeq lists it as uncharacterized. The record is from RefSeq and is a predicted model, not a curated record. NCBI's taxonomy places the organism in Eukaryota, Viridiplantae, Streptophyta, Magnoliopsida, Malvales, Malvaceae. The transcript has 3 exons.
GAUGAGAUUAAACAGGAAGAGAACUCCAAGGUUCAACUUCAACGGCUACUGGAAACUCGAAAAGCCCUGCUAUGGAAAGAACACGCAAUGACUUAUACUCGUGGGCUGGUUGCUGGGUUUGCAAUGGAAAAUAUGGAACAUCUUAUCUCGUUUGCAGAUGCAUUUGGAGCAUCCAGGUUAAGGGAAGCAUGCAUUAAUUUCAAGGAAUUAUGCAAGAAAAAGCAUGUGGGACCGUCUUUGGAUGGAAGAAUUAGCUGCAGUUGAGGCAUGCUCACCAUCAGAACUGCCAGUGUUGGGAACAUCUGGCAUUGUGCUUACAAAUGGAAUUAGCAUCUCUAAUGAUCACACUUCAAAUGAAUCUUCAGCAGGAUCAACAUCAGACACGUGCAGGAGCUGUGGAUUCCA